GUUAAAUGAUGAAUACUUCGUUUCACGACGGUCAACUGUGUUCUCCCAGGACUGUUUAAUCCCGGGAUGUUGAUGAGACUCGCCUUUACAGGCAUAAUACUGAUA
This 105-nucleotide small nucleolar RNA is filed under the name Eremothecium cymbalariae DBVPG#7215. RNAcentral describes it as "Small nucleolar RNA snR73". It matches the Rfam family "Small nucleolar RNA snR73". Lineage: Eukaryota; Fungi; Ascomycota; Saccharomycetes; Saccharomycetales; Saccharomycetaceae. The record is from Rfam by way of RNAcentral.